AUUGAACGCUGGCGGCAGGCCUAACACAUGCAAGUCGAGCGAGCGGCGGACGGGUGAGUAAUGUCUGGGAAACUGCCUGAUGGCGGGGGAUAACUACUGGAAACGGUAGCUAAUACCGCAUACCAUCAGAUGUGCCCAGGUGGUAUUAGCUAGUAGGUGGGGUAACGGCUCACCUAGGCGACGAUCCCUAGCUGGUCUGAGAGGAUGACCAGCCACACGGGAACUGAGACACGGUCCAGACUCCUACGGGAGGCAGCAGGGGGGAAUAUGGCACAAUGGGCGCAAGCCUGAUGCAGCCAUGCCGCGUGUGUGAAGAAGGCCGUCGGGUUGUAAAGCACUUUCAGCGGUGAGGCGUUACCCGCAGAAGAAGCACCGGCUAACUCCGUGCCAGCCGCCGCGGUAAUAC
This 406-nucleotide ribosomal RNA is filed under the name uncultured bacterium. RNAcentral describes it as "partial 16S ribosomal RNA". It matches the Rfam family "Bacterial small subunit ribosomal RNA", at positions 29 to 526 of the family's 1533-position model. The record is from RNAcentral.